RNAcentral lists this ribosomal RNA (468 nucleotides) under uncultured bacterium. Its description in RNAcentral is "partial 16S ribosomal RNA". It matches the Rfam family "Bacterial small subunit ribosomal RNA", at positions 28 to 507 of the family's 1533-position model. The record is from RNAcentral.
GAUGAACGCUGGCGGCGUGCUUAACACAUGCAAGUCGAACGGUAAAGGCGGGGCUUGCUCUGCUGGAUCAGUGGCGAACGGGUGAGUAACACGUGAGCAAUCUGCCCCUGACUCUGGGAUAAGCGCUGGAAACUGCGUCUAAUACUGGAUACGAGCUGCGACGGCAUCUUCAGCAGCUGGAAGGAACGGCGGUCGGGGAUGAGCUCGCGGCCUAUCAGCUUGUUGGUGAGGUAGCGGCUCACCAAGGCGUCGACGGGUAGCCGGCCUGAGAGGGUGACCGGCCACAUUGGGACUGAGACACGGCCCAGACUCCUACGGGAGGCAGCAGUGGGGAAUAUUGCACAAUGGGCGAAAGCCUGAUGCAGCAACGCCGCGUGAGGGACGACGGCCUUCGGGUUGUAAACCUCUUUUAGCAGGGAAGAAGCGAAAGUGACGGUACCGGCAGAAAAAGCGCCGGCUAACUACGUG